Molecule: ribosomal RNA, 831 nt
Filed under: Entrophospora lutea
Lineage: Eukaryota; Fungi; Glomeromycota; Glomeromycetes; Entrophosporales; Entrophosporaceae
Description: eukaryotic LSU rRNA
Rfam family: Eukaryotic large subunit ribosomal RNA
Source: RNAcentral
AAGUGCUCGGUCGAGAUUGUAAGAUACAUUUAACAAUGACCUCAAAUCAGGCAAGAAUACCCGCUGAAUUAAGCAUAUCAAUAAGCGGAGGAAAAGAAACUAACAAGGAUUCCCCUAGUAACGGCGAGUGAAGAGGGAAAAGCUCAAAUUUUAAAUCUGCCUUGUUUCAAGGUCGAGUUGUAAUUUGAAGAAGCGUUUUCUUGGGCUCGCGGCCGGUAGAAGUUCUUUGGAACAGGACAUCAUAGAGGGUGACAAUCCCGUCUGCGACCGGCGUGUGUUCAUCUACGAUACGCUUUCAAAGAGUCGAGUUGUUUGGGAUUGCAGCUCCAAAUGGGUGGUAAACAUCACCUAAGGCUAAAUAUUGGCGAGAGACCGAUAGCGAACAAGUACCGUGAGGGAAAGAUGAAAAGAACUUUGAAAAGAGAGUUAAACAGUACGUGAAAUUGUUGAAAGGGAAACGAUUGAAGUCAGUCGUGCUGGCGCGAAAUCAACCCUCUCGUCGAGAGAUCACAUGGCGUGGCGAGCCUCAAAACCGUCACGAAGCGUGAACUCUUGGCGAAAGGGAGCACUUUCGUGUCCGCUGGUUAACAUCAAUUUCGAACGUCAUAAAAAGGCUGGAGGGAUGUGGCUCCUUCGGGAGUGUUAUAACCUUUAGCGGAAUGUGGUGGUCGGGAUUGAGGAUUGCAACGAAUACCUUUAGGGCUGUUCCACCUGGCCUCUCUCUGGUAUCCUGGUGACGACAGCUUGCUGACGUCGUUAGGAUUCGCCUUUGAACGGGCUAGAGUGUGAGCAAAUUCGUUAAGGAUGUUAACGUAAUGGCUUUAAACGACC